AUGAAGUGCAAAAAUUGUUCCGUGUUUCAAUUAUCAGUUGGCUACAUCAACGUCUGCAGUCUGUUUGGUCCUCGGAUGUGGUUCGCUUUUGGGAGUGAAGCUGUUCACUUGCGCACAUGUGGAAGUGCGGAAAAAAUAGCAAAACAACUUAAAAAUAAUGCGGUCCACUACGAUAUUUGUCGUGGUUCACUUGUCUCAUCUCUGCGGUCCACUCUCGUUCAUAAACAAAGUUGGAAAAAAGACAACAAAAACUUUUGCGAGAAAGUUUAUGUCCGACAAAAAGAAAUCAUGAAGUUCACUUGA
This 303-nucleotide ribosomal RNA is filed under the name Triticum aestivum (bread wheat). RNAcentral describes it as "partial small subunit ribosomal RNA". The record is from RNAcentral. Lineage: Eukaryota; Viridiplantae; Streptophyta; Magnoliopsida; Poales; Poaceae.